Molecule: long non-coding RNA, 826 nt
Filed under: Capsicum annuum
Lineage: Eukaryota; Viridiplantae; Streptophyta; Magnoliopsida; Solanales; Solanaceae
Description: long non-coding RNA (CANN_LNC019337)
Source: RNAcentral
GAUGGCAUUAUCAUGUGCAUUUGUUAUGCUCCCCAAUUGUUUGAUAAAAUGCCUAUGUGAAUUAAAUAGUGAUAUAAUGAUAAGUUAGCAUGUGUUCCAUUCAUGUAUAAGUUCAUAAGUUAGCAUGUGUUCCAUUCAUGUAUAAGUUCAUGUCUCUCAAGUGUUGGACAAAAUGUCUAAGUGAAUGCAUUGUUAAGAAGCAAUUAUUGUCAUGUUUUCAAGAUUAUGCCAUGCUUGACUGUUGAUGUUAUCGAGUCCUUGGGGUACUCAAUACCCGAUUAUCUAGAGGUUUACCUAGAAUUACAGUAACUAUAGAAUAGUCUCAGUAACAUCACAAACAUUAGUACUCAUUCAAUUACAGUACUCAGAGAACUCAGUCCAGUACAGUCAGUAAAUAUGAUCAGUAACAGUUCAAUCAAGCCUAGUAUAGUCUAGUAAUCAGUUCAGUGUCCAUUCAGUUGGGCGUAAGAUUCAGCACCGAUUGAACCAAGGGAUGGGGGCAUUCCGUAGAGGGUUUGACCCUUAGUAGCAGUCCCUGCGCUACAGAACUAUGUAGCCAGCAUAGGAUAAGACAUCCUCAGACUAGGGUUGAUGCAACCAUAUAUAUAUAUAUAUAUUUGAUGAGUCUUCCUUCCAGAUGAGGGUUGACCCAGCAUUGUUAGUAUCUCUUGGCAAGGUGCUAACACCCUUCCAACUGGGGUUACAGGUUGGCACCUAACUCAGUUUAUAAUUGGGGUAUGUCGAUAAGAUGAAUACUCCUACAGUUACAGUUUCAGCUUCAGACCUAGUAUAGAACUUAUUCAGUUCUACAAAAUUAGGACUAUCA